AUUGAACGCUGGCGGCAGGCCUAACACAUGCAAGUCGAGCGGAUGACGGGAGCUUGCUCCUUGAUUCAGCGGCGGACGGGUGAGUAAUGCCUAGGAAUCUGCCUGGUAGUGGGGGACAACGUUUUGAAAGGAACGCUAAUACCGCAUACGUCCUACGGGAGAAAGCAGGGGACCUUCGGGCCUUGCGCUAUCAGAUGAGCCUAGGUCGGAUUAGCUAGUUGGUGGGGUAAUGGCUCACCAAGGCGACGAUCCGUAACUGGUCUGAGAGGAUGAUCAGUCACACUGGAACUGAGACACGGUCCAGACUCCUACGGGAGGCAGCAGUGGGGAAUAUUGGACAAUGGGCGAAAGCCUGAUCCAGCCAUGCCGCGUGUGUGAAGAAGGUCUUCGGAUUGUAAAGCACUUUAAGUUGGGAGGAAGGGCAGUAAGUUAAUACCUUGCUGUUUUGACGUUACCGACAGAAUAAGCACCGGCUAACUCUGUACCAGCCGCCGCCGUAA
RNAcentral lists this ribosomal RNA (500 nucleotides) under uncultured bacterium. RNAcentral describes it as "partial 16S ribosomal RNA". It matches the Rfam family "Bacterial small subunit ribosomal RNA", at positions 30 to 523 of the family's 1533-position model. The record is from RNAcentral.